GAGGGAGACCUACUAAGCAGCUACUUGAAAGCACAUAGCGAAUAGAGUGUUGUUGUAGUCACCUAAGGUCGUUGAGGGUUUUGUUAGUUUUAGUGAACCGAAUCAAAUCGGCGAACCUAUCUUCAAGUUAUUUGGGUGUUGCGACACCAAGUAUUAGCGGGCUAUUAGCUCAGGUGGUUAGAGCGCACCCCUGAUAAGGGUGAGGUCCCUGGUUCGAGUCCAGGAUGGCCCACUUUCGAGAUUGAUAUCUAAUUGGUAUUUAAUUAAGGGGGUAUAGCUCAGUUGGUAGAGCGCCUGCUUUGCAAGCAGGAUGUCAGCGGUUCGAGUCCGCUUACCUCCACCACAAAGUUUUUGCCCAACUAAUCAUUAAUUGAGUCAAACAGAAAUCAGCAACUAAUAAUGCUUCUCCCUAAAGAGAACAAAACAUGGCAUUAUAGACUGCUGGUCUUUCGAGACUAGUAAGAACCUUGACAACUGCAUAGAAAAGAGAAAGAAAGCAAAGGUAGUUCAAAGUCUGAAUAAGACAUUUGAAAUUCAAAAAGCCCAGCUUUUACACAAACCAGCUAAAUAGAGCGAGCCUGUAGCGAGAGUUGCGAGUGAGCGAUUGAAAGUUGGUGAAUGUAGAAGAUGUAAGCAAAAAGAUUUUCUUAAAAAGAAGGU
RNAcentral lists this transfer RNA (660 nucleotides) under Nodosilinea cf. foveolarum TM2ULC129. RNAcentral describes it as "Leptolyngbya cf. foveolarum TM2ULC129 partial 16S-23S ribosomal RNA intergenic spacer". The stretch from base 268 to 340 matches the Rfam family "tRNA". RNAcentral also lists the same sequence under 1 other name. Lineage: Bacteria; Bacillati; Cyanobacteriota; Cyanophyceae; Nodosilineales; Nodosilineaceae. The record is from RNAcentral.